RNAcentral lists this unclassified non-coding RNA (203 nucleotides) under Roussoella hysterioides. RNAcentral describes it as "ITS1". Lineage: Eukaryota; Fungi; Ascomycota; Dothideomycetes; Pleosporales; Thyridariaceae. The record is from RNAcentral.
AAACCGUUCCGUAGGUGAACCUGCGGAAGGAUCAUUAUCGAAAUCGCUCGCCUGCCAGUCCCCUACAAAGGGCUGUCAGCAGCGUUAUCACCCUUGCUUUUUGAGUACCUGUUUUUUUCCUCGGGUUCGCCCGCCAGUGAGGGAACCCACAAAGAAUUUUGCAUUAAAAAUUUUCGUCUAGUCUAAAAACAACCAAUAAUCAA